UUAGAUGGCUGAAAGUUAAGCAUUGGAAUUUUAAACCAAAAUAUAGUAAAUCACAUCUACUUCUAAUGA
RNAcentral lists this transfer RNA (69 nucleotides) under Lilioceris yunnana. Its description in RNAcentral is "tRNA-Lys". It matches the Rfam family "tRNA". Rfam says of the family: Transfer RNA (tRNA) molecules are approximately 80 nucleotides in length. Their secondary structure includes four short double-helical elements and three loops (D, anti-codon, and T loops). Further hydrogen bonds mediate the characteristic L-shaped molecular structure. tRNAs have two regions of fundamental functional importance: the anti-codon, which is responsible for specific mRNA codon recognition, and the 3' end, to which the tRNAs corresponding amino acid is attached (by aminoacyl-tRNA synthetases). tRNAs cope with the degeneracy of the genetic code in two manners: having more than one tRNA (with a specific anti-codon) for a particular amino acid; and 'wobble' base-pairing, i.e. permitting non-standard base-pairing at the 3rd anti-codon position. Lineage: Eukaryota; Metazoa; Arthropoda; Insecta; Coleoptera; Chrysomelidae. The record is from RNAcentral.